AUUGAACGCUGGCGGAAUGCUUUACUCAUGCAAGUCGAACGGCAGCACGGACUUCGGUCUGGUGGCGAGUGGCGAACGGGUGAGUAAUGUAUCGGAACGUGCCCAGUCGUGGGGGAUAACGUAGUGAAAAUUACGCUAAUACCGCAUACGAUCUAUGGAUGAAAGCGGGGGAUCGCAAGACCUCGCGCGAUUGGAGCGGCCGAUAUCAGAUUAGGUAGUUGGUGGGGUAAAGGCCCACCAAGCCAACGAUCUGUAGCUGGUCUGAGAGGACGACCAGCCACACUGGAACUGAGACACGGUCCAGACUCCUACGGGAGGCAGCAGUGGGGAAUUUUGGACAAUGGGCGAAAGCCUGAUCCAGCCAUUCCGCGUGCAGGAUGAAGGCCCUCGGGUUGUAAACUGCCUUUGUACAGAACGAAAAGGUUUCUACUAAUACCAGGAGCUCAUGACGGUACUGUAAGAAUAAGCACCGGCUAACUACGUGCCAGCAGCCGCCGUAA
This 500-nucleotide ribosomal RNA is filed under the name uncultured bacterium. RNAcentral describes it as "partial 16S ribosomal RNA". It matches the Rfam family "Bacterial small subunit ribosomal RNA", at positions 30 to 523 of the family's 1533-position model. The record is from RNAcentral.